Syngnathoides biaculeatus (alligator pipefish) is the source of this 546-nucleotide long non-coding RNA. RefSeq lists it as uncharacterized. The record is from RefSeq and is a predicted model, not a curated record. Lineage: Eukaryota; Metazoa; Chordata; Actinopteri; Syngnathiformes; Syngnathidae. The transcript is spliced from 4 exons.
UCCAUCCUGGGGAGGACCGAGUGGUCGUCCGACUGUGCGCCCGGCUCGUCUGUCGAGGACAUGGGGAGCCCCAGUCACCUCGUCCGGAGGUGCAACAGCCGAAAAAGGCCCCGACCACGGGUGAAGUGAGGAGGUGAUAUUAUGUGUUUGGAAGGGCCUCAAAGUAUCCCCUGUGCUCCCCAAACUGUGCCGGUGUGACGCUGCACUCGUCGACGGGCAACUUCUGUUUGUGACAACGCGCAGACUAAGUGUGCUAAAAUCACACGAGUGUGGAUUUUUCUUUUGGUAUUUCAUCGUCGAUUGUACGCAAAAAUGGCGUUGUUUUGAUCCUGCAGUCCGCCAACCUCGAAGUGGCAGGUACCAGCAAACAUAAAGACACACGAAGACAUGCUCUUGCCAAAUGCCACACAAAAACCCCUGUGCAGCCCCAUCAUGAUUAUAAUUAGGCCUCGCCACGGGGACCCAAUCACAGUGGACGUUGACUAAUGGCGAGCGAUGUCAUCCAUUGCAAUGAGAUCACGCCUCAAGAGAAGAAGUGGUGGUUUC